This 496-nucleotide ribosomal RNA is filed under the name uncultured bacterium. RNAcentral's name for it is "partial 16S ribosomal RNA". It matches the Rfam family "Bacterial small subunit ribosomal RNA", at positions 29 to 507 of the family's 1533-position model. The record is from RNAcentral.
AUGAACGCUGGCGGCGUGCCUAAUACAUGCAAGUCGAGCGAACAGACGGGGAGCUUGCUCCUCUGACGUUAGCGGCGGACGGGUGAGUAACACGUGGAUAACCUACCUAUAAGACUGGGAUAACUUCGGGAAGCCGGAGCUAAUACCGGAUAAUAUAUUGAACCGCAUGGUUCAAUAGUGAAAGACGGUUUUGCUGUCACUUAUAGAUGGAUCCGCGCCGCAUUAGCUAGUUGGUAAGGUAACGGCUUACCAAGGCGACGAUGCGUAGCCGACCUGAGAGGGUGAUCGGCCACACUGGAACUGAGACACGGUCCAGACUCCUACGGGAGGCAGCAGUAGGGAAUCUUCCGCAAUGGGCGAAAGCCUGACGGAGCAACGCCGCGUGAGUGAUGAAGGUCUUCGGAUCGUAAAACUCUGUUAUUAGGGAAGAACAAAUGUGUAAGUAACUAUGCACGUCUUGACGGUACCUAAUCAGAAAGCCACGGCUAACUACGUG